CAUUUUCUCAGCGCCACCUGUAUAAAUUACCAGACUGCUUUCCAAUCCAGGAGAGGCUGGAGAUAUGGAUAUAAGGGAUGAGCCACCUGCCUUUAAUUGGAAGUAGACCCAGGGUGAGAAAAAGAAGCAACCAUAUAAAAUUCUCUAAAGUGCAUCUGGGGAGGUGCAAGAGUUAACAGGUAACUUAAUGACACUGUACUAUCCAAUGUCCAAAUUUGAUUACUUUUAAAUGAAAAAUGUCAAACUGAUCUCAGUUGGACUGUGUGAAAUGAUAACCAUAUUACUCCUACCCUUAGGACAACAUAAUUCAUGACAAAAACAUUAUAUAAAAAUGGUAGUAUAUCCUUCCCUCAGGAAACCAGAGAGACGGCACCGGCCCUGAUCGCUGACAGUGGAGAUCAGUACGCAUAGAAUAUCAGUCUUCGUUGUCAACAGAGGCAAUGGAAUCCUAUGGAAUAGGAGCAGAAGAGUUUGAGGAAUGGUUUUUGAACUGAAGCAAGGCAGAGCAUGUGGUGUGGGGAACUCAUUUCUGGCAAGAUCUGAUGAAGGUGAUCAUAAGAUUUAAUCUGUUUAUACAGACACAUACUGUAUGUAUCUUUAUAUAUAAAAAGAUGCAUAUGUAUACAUAUAUAUCUGUAUAAACAUAUAUCUCUUUAUAUGAAUAUAUAUACAGAAAUAUGUAUAUUUAGUGUAUUAGUUUUACUGGAUUGCAUACAAUGAAAUAUAUUUUUUCAUAUUUCUCUCUAUAUAUUUUAAAUAUAUAUAUUCAUUGUAGCAAUCCAGUAAAAGUAGUAUAUCCUAAAACUAGUGAUCUAUUCAAUAUUCAAGCAUGUAUUAUUCAGUUUUAGAUAGCCAAAAUCUCUGUUGUGACAAUAUUCUUACCUAAUAUUAAUAUUUUAUUACAUGGGUAUGAUUGCUUGAGAUCAGUGAGAUUAUGGAUGGCUCACAUUAACUUAUCAACUGUCAGAGUAGAAAAAGAAUAUAGGCUUUGGCUUCAGAAAAAAAUCUGCCAAGUUUCAACAUCUAAGAUGUGGUACAACCAGAAAGAUUCUACAAUCAUAAUGAAAGCCUUGAUAUUAGAAACUUCAAUUUCUGUCAUAUUGUGCUAAGGAUUUAGGUAUUUAUAUUACCUGCUCAGUAUUCGGGCUUUUGCUAUAGAGGAACGUAACUACUGAAGGAUUUAAGCAGAAAGUGACAGGAUCAUGUGUGCUUUUCAAAAGAUCACUUGGGAAUCUAUAUGGAGAUCCCUGGAAAGCAUUCAGAGGAAGAUCGUCAUUUAUGUAAUGAUUCACCAAACUCAAUUAGAAAGAGUAAGAACCUGAAAUAAGGUAGCAGUAGGAGAGACAUACAGAAAUGUGCACAAGUAUGAGUUCUUAAGAAGGUAUGGUGGAAGGCAUUUAUUCACACGUGAGGGUGUGAAAAUGGUGUUGACAUAGGAAAAAUAAAGAACUCAACCCAAAUAUUUUACUUAAAUUGGAAACCUUGAAUGUUAGAGAUAAUGCCUUGGGCCUAUCAAACCCUUUUCCUCUUCGGUACACAAGUAGACUGCAUUUCCCAGGCUUCUGUGUACUUGUCUGAAGCCACAGGAGGGAGUUCUAACCAAUAUAAUUGGCUGGAAGUACGUAUUCUACUUUCAGAUAUGGAAAAAAAAAUAAAAACAAAACAAAAAAACUUCAAUGCCAUUCUUCAUGUUUUCUCUUUUUUCUUGCCUCCACUGGCUGCACUGACAAAAUACAGUGGGGAACUCUGAGGCUUUAGUGGGUGGAUGGCAGUGGCACUACAUGUGUCCUUGAAUAAAUGCAGAGAGCUGAGCCCUCCCCUCCACCCUGACCCUAAUCCAUAUGCUCUAAAUUGAACUAAUGCGUGAUGAAAAAAGUAGCACUUUUUAACAUGGAAGCUCCUAAGAUUUCAUUGUGUGUUUAUUAUAUAAUAGCUCACAUCCCAGUCUAAAAUCUGUAAGUGUUCUAUAAAUUCUCCAGUAAUGAGAAAUUUGAUACGAUGCUUAGGACAAUGCUGCAUAUUAUUAUUUUGUUGUUUUGUUCUGGGUUUUUUGUUGUGAGACAGGGUUUUGCUCUGCCGCCCAGGCUGGGGUGCAGUGGCACGAUGAGAGCUCACUGCAACUACCUCCUGGGCUCAAGCCAUCCUCCCCCGCCUCAGCCCCCAGAGUAGCUGGGACUACAGGGGCGCACUACCACGCUGGGCUAAUUUUUUAAAUUUAUAGUAGAGACGGGGUUCUUCCAUGUUGCCCAGGUUGGUCUUGAACUCAUGAGCUCAAGUGAUGCCCCCGCCUCGGCCUCCCAAACUGCUGUGAUUACAGCUGAGAGCCAUCAUGCCCAGCCAUAUUUAUAACGUGUUGUUAAUUUUAGUGCUUAAUAUGACUAGUUCUAUGGUGUGAUCAUAAUUUUUCUUAAUAUUUGUGUUGUAUUUGUAAAAUUCUAGGUUAAAAGUGUUUUCUUAUAUAGUUUAGGAAGAAUAUUUAAAUGAUGUAAGUCCAGCUGAGAACUGUGAUCAGAAUUCUGGAGGUUGGAGUGGGCAGAGCAGCUAAAUAGCAGGUUACUUGCCAGCUGGUUACAUUACUAUAUUAGAUUAAGCCACCUAAAGACAGUUACUAUUCUUUAAGGUAUUUUUGUAGCUUAUGUCAUUAUGUGUGUUGCUGAUUUGAUCAUUAAUUCUUCAAUUACUGGAGAUUUGAUAUGUAAAAAUAUGUUUAUUAUAAGACCUUAAAUAAUAUUCCAUAAUAUCUUUUUGUGUAUCUUGGUAUUGGAGUUCAUUUGUUUGCUUUGUACAAUGUAAAAUCUUCAAUAAAUCUUAAGGUGAAGGCUGUUUUA
This is a long non-coding RNA of Homo sapiens (human), 2828 nucleotides long. RefSeq lists it as uncharacterized. Lineage: Eukaryota; Metazoa; Chordata; Mammalia; Primates; Hominidae. The record is from RefSeq and is a predicted model, not a curated record. The transcript is spliced from 2 exons.